RNAcentral lists this ribosomal RNA (253 nucleotides) under uncultured bacterium. RNAcentral describes it as "partial 16S ribosomal RNA". It matches the Rfam family "Bacterial small subunit ribosomal RNA", at positions 524 to 776 of the family's 1533-position model. The record is from RNAcentral.
UACGUAGGGGGCUAGCGUUGUCCGGAAUCAUUGGGCGUAAAGAGCGUGUAGGCGGCCCGGUAAGUCCGCUGUAAAAGUCAAAGGCUCAACCUUUGAAUGUCAGUGGAUACUGCCGGGCUAGAGUCCGGAAGAGGCGAGUGGAACUCCUGGUGUAGCGGUGGAAUGCGCAGAUAUCAGGAAGAACACCAACGGCGAAGGCAGCUCACUGGCCCGAUACUGACGCUGAGGUGCGAAAGCGUGGGGAGCAAACAGG